AUUGAACGCUGGCGGCAGGCCUAACACAUGCAAGUCGAACGGUAACAGGAAGCAGCUUGCUGCUUUGCUGACGAGUGGCGGACGGGUGAGUAAUGUCUGGGAAACUGCCUGAUGGAGGGGGAUAACUACUGGAAACGGUAGCUAAUACCGCAUAACGUCGCAAGACCAAAGAGGGGGACCUUCGGGCCUCUUGCCAUCGGAUGUGCCCAGAUGGGAUUAGCUAGUAGGUGGGGUAACGGCUCACCUAGGCGACGAUCCCUAGCUGGUCUGAGAGGAUGACCAGCCACACUGGAACCGAGACACGGUCCAGACUCCUACGGGAGGCAGCAGUGGGGAAUAUUGCACAAAGGGCGCAAGCCUGAUGCAGCCAUGCCGCGUGUAUGAAGAAGGCCUUCGGGUUGUAAAGUACUUUCAGCGGGGAGGAAGGGAGUAAAGUUAAUACCUUUGCUCAUUGACGUUACCCGCAGAAGAAGCACCGGCUAACUCCGUG
Molecule: ribosomal RNA, 490 nt
Filed under: uncultured bacterium
Lineage: Bacteria
Description: partial 16S ribosomal RNA
Rfam family: Bacterial small subunit ribosomal RNA
Source: RNAcentral